CCUACGGGAGGCAGCAGUGGGGGAUAUUGCACAAUGGGCGCAAGCCUGAUGCAGCGACGCCGCGUGAGCGAAGAAGUAUCUCGGUAUGUAAAGCCCUAUCAGCAGGGAAGAAAAUGGCGGUACCCGACUAAGAAGCUCCGGCUACAUACGUACCAGCAGCCGCGGUAAUACGUAUGGAGCAAGCGUUAUACGGAUUUACUGGGUGUAAAGGGAGCGUAGGCGGGCGUGUAAGUCUGAUGUGAAAAUUUGGGGCUCAACCCCAAACGUGCAUUGGAAACUGCAUGGCUUGAGUGCGGGAGAGGCAGGCGGAAUGCGUGGUGUAGCGGUGAAAUGCGUAGAUAUUAGGAGGAACACCAGUGGCGAAGGCAGCCUGCUGGACGGUAACUGACGCUGAGGCUCGAAAGCGUGGGGAGCAAACAGGAUUAGAUACCCUUGUAGUC
RNAcentral lists this ribosomal RNA (440 nucleotides) under uncultured bacterium. RNAcentral's name for it is "partial 16S ribosomal RNA". It matches the Rfam family "Bacterial small subunit ribosomal RNA", at positions 338 to 795 of the family's 1533-position model. The record is from RNAcentral.